AACGAACGCUGGCGGCAUGCCUAACACAUGCAAGUCGAACGAUACCUUCGGGUCUAGUGGCGCACGGGUGCGUAACGCGUGGGAACCUGCCCUUAGGUUCGGAAUAACGCCCCGAAGGGGGUGCUAAUACCGGAUAAUGUCUUCGGACCAAAGAUUUAUCGCCUUUGGAUGGGCCCGCGUUGGAUUAGCUAGUUGGUAGGGUAAAAGCCUACCAAGGCGACGAUCCAUAGCUGGUCUGAGAGGAUGAUCAGCCACACUGGGACUGAGACACGGCCCAGACUCCUACGGGAAGCAGCAGUGGGGAAUAUUGGACAAUGGGCGAAAGACUGAUCCAGCCAUGCCGCGUGAGUGAUGAAGGCCUUAGGGUUGUAAAGCUCUUUUACCCGGGAUGAUAAUGACAGUACCGGGAGAAUAAGCGCCGGCUAACUACGUG
Molecule: ribosomal RNA, 433 nt
Filed under: uncultured bacterium
Lineage: Bacteria
Description: partial 16S ribosomal RNA
Rfam family: Bacterial small subunit ribosomal RNA
Source: RNAcentral